RNAcentral lists this unclassified non-coding RNA (202 nucleotides) under soil metagenome. RNAcentral's name for it is "partial contains 5.8S ribosomal RNA, internal transcribed spacer 2, and large subunit ribosomal RNA". The record is from RNAcentral.
AACACUGUUAACCUGCGGUACCUGCGGAGGGAUCAUUACCGAGUCAUCGACGCUCAGACCCUACCGCGAACCCGAGACCGUUGCCUCGGCGGGCACGCCCGCCGGGGGUCUCGAGCCCCACGCCCUGCAGCGGCCCCCGCGCCGCGACGCCGUGAUCUGAAUUACGCUUCCAAAACAAGUCAAAACUUUUAGCAACGGAUCU